This 319-nucleotide long non-coding RNA is filed under the name Lotus japonicus. RNAcentral describes it as "long non-coding RNA (LJAP_LNC000860)". The record is from RNAcentral. Lineage: Eukaryota; Viridiplantae; Streptophyta; Magnoliopsida; Fabales; Fabaceae.
AAAGUUUAAAAAAGAAAAUCAAGGUUCAUUAAAUAAAUGAUAGCAAAGCUUAACAAUUCUUUUAAGCUCGGUUCGGGGUGGUUGUCAAUUUUCAGUUCUUAGUUUUUAAAUUGAAAUUUGAAAAUAAAACGUGUACUAAGUUUUUAUUGAAUUUCAAAAAACCACACAAUAUGAUUUUAUGAUUAUGGUUUUUAGUUUAAAAACACGUAACUUCAUUCCAAUUCUGCCCCUGUUGACCCAACCAACUCACCAUUAAUUAAAGUUGAAGGUGGGCCCGUGGAUGUUGAGUUGGGUGGGGCGGGUUUGUGCACAAACGGUC